RNAcentral lists this ribosomal RNA (497 nucleotides) under uncultured bacterium. RNAcentral describes it as "partial 16S ribosomal RNA". It matches the Rfam family "Bacterial small subunit ribosomal RNA", at positions 28 to 507 of the family's 1533-position model. The record is from RNAcentral.
GAUGAACGCUGGCGGCGUGCCUAAUACAUGCAAGUCGAGCGAUCAGACGAGGAGCUUGCUCCUCUGACGUUAGCGGCGGACGGGUGAGUAACACGUGGAUAACCUACCUAUAAGACUGGGAUAACUUCGGGAAACCGGAGCUAAUACCGGAUAAUAUAUUGAACCGCAUGGUUCAAUAGUGAAAGACGGUUUUGCUGUCACUUAUAGAUGGAUCCGCGCCGCAUUAGCUAGUUGGUAAGGUAACGGCUUACCAAGGCGACGAUGCGUAGCCGACCUGAGAGGGUGAUCGGCCACACUGUAACUGAGACACGGUCCAGACUCCUACGGGAGGCAGCAGUAGGGAAUCUUCCGCAAUGGGCGAAAGCCUGACGGAGCAACGCCGCGUGAGUGAUGAAGGUCUUCGGAUCGUAAAACUCUGUUAUUAGGGAAGAACAAAUGUGUAAGUAACUAUGCACGCCUUGACGGUACCUAAUCAGAAAGCCACGGCUAAAUACGUG